This 460-nucleotide ribosomal RNA is filed under the name uncultured bacterium. RNAcentral's name for it is "partial 16S ribosomal RNA". It matches the Rfam family "Bacterial small subunit ribosomal RNA", at positions 28 to 507 of the family's 1533-position model. The record is from RNAcentral.
GACGAACGCUGGCGGCGUGCUUAACACAUGCAAGUCGAGCGGUAAGGCCUCUUCGGGGGUCCACGAGCGGCGAACGGGCGGGUAACACGUGGGUGACCUGCCCUCAGCUCUGGGAUAAGCCUGGGCAACUGGGUCUAAUACCGGAUAUGAACUUUCCUCGCAUGGGGUUUGGUGGAAAGUUUUUUCGGCUGGGGAUGGGCCCGCGGCCUAUCAGUUGGUUGGUGGGGGGAUGGCCAACCAAGGCGACGACGGGUAGCCUGCCGGAGAGGGCGACCGGCCAGGGUGGGAGUGAGGGACGGCCCAGAUUCCGGCGGGAGGCAGCAGGGAGGAAGAUUGCGGGAUGGGCGGAAGCCUGACGAAGCGAGGCUGCGGGGGGGAGGCCGGCGGGCGGGUUGUAAACCUCUUUCGUGCCGGACGAAGUUGGACGGUAGGGGGAGAAGAAGCACCGGCUAACUACGUG